Molecule: long non-coding RNA, 4757 nt
Organism: Cygnus olor (mute swan)
Lineage: Eukaryota; Metazoa; Chordata; Aves; Anseriformes; Anatidae
Exons: 5
Source: RefSeq, a predicted model, not a curated record
UGUUCUGUUGAAACCCAGAUGACCUAUGUAGUCAGAGAGAGAAGGCUUUUAAAGAGAUGGCUGAGGAAAAGACAAAUGACCUAAACUGUUUCUUCUUAACCAAGACAGCUCCCUGCUGAGUUUGAUUCUUCUGUGUUUCAAGAAGAUCCCUGUGAACAAGAUUUCAGAAAACUGCUUUCCAAACAGUGGCGGCUGCAAAAUAGGAGGCUCAGUAAAGCAGAAGCUGAUACAGAAAGCUGGUGCGUGUUACUGGCCGGCAGCUGUGGUUCAUAUCAGGAGCAGAUCUAUUUCUGUGGUUAGAAACAAAACUAUGGUCACUCUCAGCCCCAUUUGACCUCUCAAGUACAGGCUCUGGACUCAAAAUCAGGAAUUAGCAGGCUUCAUCUUCUCCUUCGCAACAAACUGUGAAGAGCUUCAGCAGGAGGUUGGCUUCAGGGAGAGGCAAUGUAUCGGAACACAUUGCAAAAGACACUUCUUGCAAGAAAACACGGGGAAGAUGUCUUUGGCUGAUGACACAGUUCAGUUGCAAGACGCAGUACUUCACGAGGCUCGCAGAAGGAACCUGACACAGGUCUGCUGCAAUUUAUACCAGCUGCAACACAUAUAUAUGGAAAAUCUGGGGACGGACUAGGUUGGAUGUUGCCGCAGUCUUGCCUUUGCUCUGCCUCAGCCAGGAUGAGAAGGUGAAAUGAGAACUCUUUGCUCCUUCUUUACCCUCUCAUCACUGGCCAUGAGGGGUUUUAUAACAAGCAGUCCCAUUCAGAUGCGGCUUGAGGGCAUCUGUUGAGAAUGGUUGGCCCCUUUCUUCAGUCUGUAGCCACUUGUGCAGCCCAGUUAUGGAAGAAUUUUGCUGCCCCAGGCAGCUGCCUUUCUGCCUGGGUGAGGGGCAGCCCACCUCCACCCCUGCCUUUGACUGUAGAAGGUCAGAAGAACUCUACCGUUAGGAAGGCACCCCACCAGAGAGCUCUGCUAGAUGUCUCCAAAGUGCUUUCAAAACUGCAGAUGAAGGCUCAUAGGUGUUCAGCGAUACUACAGUGAUACUACUGUUUCUGAAAGGAAAGAUCUUCCCACCAGGCCUGUUAGGCCCUUUGGAUUCAGCCAAGCUCUGUCAGUUGACACCACUGGAUCUGACUUGGGAAGCCUCUGCUUGAUAUAGGUGUGAAUUAAUUCAGCUUUGUUCCAAGCACACCAACAGAGGCAUGAGUGAGAGAAAAUUAAUGCAGCUGAGCAUCUUUCAGAAAACUCAGAACCACACUUUGCACGUAGGUAGAUCUUGUCGUCAGUGCCUGGCAAGCCUUGUUAGAGGGUUUUAUUUUAAUCACUGGGAGAAAGGAGGAACUCAGUUUUGGAAACAGAUGGGUAAUGCACCUGGACCAUUAGUGCCCAUUGACCUCAGUAAGAUAGGCAGCUUUGUGUGGUGGGGCAUGUUUUGUUGGAUACUAGAGAAAAGAGUUUUCUGUCUGAAUUACGUGUUGAAGAGAUCUUACUACUAGAGCUGUUAAUGCUGUGUGUCCAGUGUCUUACUGGGCUAAACUGGUAGCAGGUAUAACGCUGGGCUUGUGUGCAAUUGCUCCUGAUCUGUGCCAGUGAGAACAGGAAAAAGAGUAAGUCUGGCAAGUGUCAGCAGCACCUUUUUUGAAAGGAUAACAAAGGUGAUUAGCAUCAUUUGCAGUAGUUCUAAGGAUAACCCAUUUCAAUGAUUCAGUAAUAAAACCUUACUCUCAGCAAAUCCCCAGAAAGGACAGUUUUUGAAAAGUUAAGGAUUUAUUUGUAGGUAUUGGAGUAUUUUGCUUCUUCUUCUGUAUACCUUGCUGGCUUUUUUCUGUAGUCCCAUCACCAGCUAUCAGACUCGAACACCGGCUCCAAGGGAAGAAAAUAAAGCAUCAACAAUGGCAAAGACCUGCCUACUGCAGGAUUAUUCUGAACAGCCUGUUCCUGACUGUUUUGCUCAGUCUACUUCUAAAUGAUUCAGUGAUAAAAUGUCACCCUUUUCCAUUCUAAGACAACUCACGAAUGGAAAGGUUUUUGCUCAUAACCUAAAUGCAAGGAUAUUGUCAUGGUAUGUCAUUUUGGGUCACUCUUGUACCCCUGACUAAGGAGUUUUCUGCCUCGAUGCAUCAGGAAGAUACAUGGGUUAAGCUAAAAUUUACAGCAUCUCUCUCGUUCCUCAGUCACCACCCCCACCCUUUCCCCCCUGCUAUUUGUUGUAGUGCAUGAGGAGAAGAGAGCAAGCGUGUCUCUUGGGUUUGACGGCUCCCUUCUGCUUCUCCGUCUUCUGUGGCCGCUGCUUUUGCUGCUUUGCCUGUUAACUGAAUGGCUGAUUUCCUGGCACAGGGACAACGCCGGUCCCUUGGCGGGAAGCUGAGCACACGCAGUAUUGCCAAGCAACACUUUCCAAUGGAUUGUGUGUGCCACAACUCUUGCUUGGUGUCACGUGCUCCAGUCUUCUGAUUUUUUUUUUUUCCUUUCCAUCCAGAGAAAAUGCAUAUGCAUAGGGAUGUGGGAGUGAGUGGGUAGAAAUGGGAUCUUAGUAGGCUGGGGGAAAGUAUUAGGGUAGAAGGGCCAGGAUUCCUUAAGGACACAGAUACAGCUAGAAAAGUGUUUAUAUUUUGGUCUGUUUAGGAGAUUUGUAUGGAAGCUGGGCUGUACUGGACCAUUCUAUGUCAUAGCUACUAAGAUGCCCAUGUGUGUCUCGAGAGAGCAUGGGUUGCUUCCCAGUCCUCCAACACGAGGGUCUGUCGUUGCCCUCUGCGAACCUCAGCGGGACACAGCAGAUCCUGCCCUGGAGGCAGGCUAAGCUCAGGUGAAAAUGUGGUGCUCUGAGCAUCUGAGCAUGUUUUCCACACUGCUCAUUUUGGUUCCAGCUGUUUCUCCUUCCUUUUCUCAACAGUGCUCUGCCUUAAAUGACUGAUAGUCCCUGUAACAUCUUAGUGACCAUUUUGCUUUGAAAACACGAUUGUCAGUGCAAGGAAAAGCUUCCUUGCUUCCUGCUUGAGGAAAGGCAGCUUGAAGACUGCUCUUCAGAGGUAUUGGUGCUGAUAAAGGGGUUUGUUGGAAUGUGACGAAAGGGAGUCCUUGCAGGCCACACAGCAAACAGUCUGCAUAAGAAUAUCUAGAAGAUCUCCUUUACUGAGUAUUUACCAGUGGCCUAUGCAUUUCUUGUCUGUUCUGUCCUCAGAUGGAAAAGGACAGAUGUCCCAUCCUGGAAUUUCUUGUUUGGCACUAGAGCUUGCUUUCUGCUUGGGAUACCAGAGUUAUAUAGCAGGUGUGCAUGCCCAUAUAAAAAAGGGUGUACUGUACUGUGUGGGAAUGAGUUUGGGUUUUGGGCUUCUGUGGUCCCAAAGGGCUAAGGAGAUGAUUCCUUGUCCUGUCCCAAAGCUAUUGAGACUAUGAACAAGGGGAGUGGAUUUCAUCCUGAAAGAACAUCUUCAGUGAUAGAUGACGAGCAUUCAUUUUGGGCUUGGUCCCAAAACUGUUCCCAAAUCAGGCAAGAGAACUGAAUGCAGCCCUUGAAGCACUCACACUAGUUCUAAAUGUCCUUUUCAUCUCUGAACAGGCACUUCUGGAUUUUAUUGCUCUUUGCAGUAGCCUGAGUAGUGACGCCGUUGCGCUGCUGCGGGCCCAUGCCAAGUGGUCUCUGCUGUGGGGCCUUUUCUCUCCUGCAUUUCUUGCUGAUCUUCACUGCUGCUUAUUCUGAAAGAGGACUGGACAAGGGCUUUGGGAUUUGGCUUCAGGACUUGAAGAUGAUGCUUUAAAUGCAAGGAAAAUGGAACGAGUGAAAGCAUCUUUAUUUAAGAGCUCUCUCUCCACCCCUCAAGCCUGCCACCAGAGCCACAUCUGUGGUUCUCAACUGUCUACCUGGUCACUGGGAUGGUGGGUACCAGGCACCACCUCAAAUACAGCAUAGAAGCAAGAAUGGUGCUAAUAACAAUGUGGGAAUCAGAGAGGCAAUGAAACUCUCAAUCUGGACGUUGCACAUCUCGUCCCAUGAAUGGAGUAAGUGAAUUCGCAAUAACACUGCAAUUGGUGCAAUGGCAGCUUGUCAGGCAGCUACUGGAGCAAGUAGAAGCACUCAAGCUGUGGUAAAUAUACUCUGCAUCACAAUUAUGUAACAGACCGCAUCCUAUCCUGCACUCAUUUGCUGAACAAAAAGGGCCAGCUCCUCAGCUGGUGCAAAUUGAGGUGGUGUCACUGACUUCGAUGGAUGAGGACUUAACCCUGGGAUGAUUCUCAACAAUCUCGCUCUCGAUUUCUUUAUUUCAUGCCAUUUAGAGAUGAACCUGUGUUCUUACCUUCUGCUGCACGUGCGACUUAAUUGAUUUCUAUUUUUUUAGAUGCUAUUUGUUAAUUCACAUUGUGUAUUUUGCCGACCAAUUAUAUGCAUGGCCAUAUUGUGUGACUGCAGCAGUCUGGUGCAGUGCAAGGAAUGCCACAUCAUGUGAGACGUUUCAUCUCCAUGAGUAACCUAGUCACUGUGGUAAAUGAAUACAUGAAUACAGUACAUCCAGGAGAGAUUAAACGUAUUGACCGGUGCCUCUAGUCACCAUACAAAUGUCAUUGUUUUUUAAAUUUUUUCCCCCCCUUUCUUGUUUUUUCGACACAUUUUGGUCCCCUUUUCGCUUCUCCCCUUUUCCCUUAAGUAGAGAUGACACAGAUCAAUACCUUUGAUGGAAAGUAAUAAUCAGGCCUAUUAAGUGACAAAGGUUUACUCUGUAACAGCUGUGCUGGCGGGAGAGGAGAGCUUGUCUGACUAAUGA